This 76-nucleotide transfer RNA is filed under the name Acidobacteriota bacterium. RNAcentral's name for it is "tRNA-Asn". It matches the Rfam family "tRNA". From Rfam's summary of the family: Transfer RNA (tRNA) molecules are approximately 80 nucleotides in length. RNAcentral also lists the same sequence under 2 other names. The record is from RNAcentral. Lineage: Bacteria; Pseudomonadati; Acidobacteriota.
UGUGGGGUAGUUGAAUUGGUACAACGUCCGGCUGUUAACCGGAAGGUUGGGGGUUCGAUUCCCUCCCCCACAGCCA